AUUGAACGCUGGCGGCAUGCUUUACACAUGCAAGUCGAACGGCAGCGCGGGCUUCGGCCUGGCGGCGAGUGGCGAACGGGUGAGUAAUGCAUCGGAACGUGCCCAGUAGUGGGGGAUAGCCCGGCGAAAGCCGGAUUAAUACCGCAUACGACCUGAGGGUGAAAGCGGGGGACCGAAAGGCCUCGCGCUAUUGGAGCGGCCGAUGUCGGAUUAGCUAGUUGGUGGGGUAAAGGCUUACCAAGGCGACGAUCCGUAGCUGGUCUGAGAGGACGACCAGCCACACUGGGACUUAGACACGGCCCAGACUCCUACGGGAGGCAGCAGGUGGGAAUUUUGGACAAUGGGGGCAACCCUGAUCCAGCCAUGCCGCGUGGGGGAAGAAGGCCUUCGGGUUGGAAACCGCUUUUGUUCGGGAAAAAAUACUCUGGGCUAAAACCCCGGGGGGAUGACGGUACCGGAAGAAUAAGCACCGGCUAACUACGUG
RNAcentral lists this ribosomal RNA (484 nucleotides) under uncultured bacterium. RNAcentral describes it as "partial 16S ribosomal RNA". It matches the Rfam family "Bacterial small subunit ribosomal RNA", at positions 29 to 507 of the family's 1533-position model. The record is from RNAcentral.